GAUGAACGCUGGCGGCGUGCCUAAUACAUGCAAGUCGAGCGAACGGACGAGAAGCUUGCUUCUCUGAUGUUAGCGGCGGACGGGUGAGUAACACGUGGAUAACCUACCUAUAAGACUGGGAUAACUUCGGGAAACCGGAGCUAAUACCGGAUAAUAUUUUGAACCGCAUGGUUCAAAAGUGAAAGACGGUCUUGCUGUCACUUAUAGAUGGAUCCGCGCUGCAUUAGCUAGUUGGUAAGGUAACGGCUUACCAAGGCAACGAUGCAUAGCCGACCUGAGAGGGUGAUCGGCCACACUGGAACUGAGACACGGUCCAGACUCCUACGGGAGGCAGCAGUAGGGAAUCUUCCGCAAUGGGCGAAAGCCUGACGGAGCAACGCCGCGUGAGUGAUGAAGGUCUUCGGAUCGUAAAACUCUGUUAUUAGGGAAGAACAUAUGUGUAAGUAACUGUGCACAUCUUGACGGUACCUAAUCAGAAAGCCCACGGCUAACUACUUGCCAGCAGCCGCGGUAAUACGUAGGUGGCGAGCGUUAUCCGGAAUUAUUGGGCGUAAAGCGCGCGUAGGCGGUUUUUUAAGUCUGAUGUGAAAGCCCACGGCUCAACCGUGGAGGGUCAUUGGAAACUGGAAAACUUGAGUGCAGAAGAGGAAAGUGGAAUUCCAUGUGUAGCGGUGAAAUGCGCAGAGAUAUGGAGGAACACCAGUGGCGAAGGCGACUUUCUGGUCUGUAACUGACGCUGAUGUGCGAAAGCGUGGGGAUCAAACAGGAUUAGAUACCCUGGUAGUCCACGCCGUAAACGAUGAGUGCUAAGUGUUAGGGGGUUUCCGCCCCUUAGUGCUGCAGCUAACGCAUUAAGCACUCCGCCUGGGGAGUACGACCGCAAGGUUGAAACUCAAAGGAAUUGACGGGGACCCGCACAAGCGGUGGAGCAUGUGGUUUAAUUCGAAGCAACGCGAAGAACCUUACCAAAUCUUGACAUCCUUUGACAACUCUAGAGAUAGAGCUUUCCCCUUCGGGGGACAAAGUGACAGGUGGUGCAUGGUUGUCGUCAGCUCGUGUCGUGAGAUGUUGGGUUAAGUCCCGCAACGAGCGCAACCCUUAAGCUUAGUUGCCAUCAUUAAGUUGGGCACUCUAAGUUGACUGCCGGUGACAAACCGGAGGAAGGUGGGGAUGACGUCAAAUCAUCAUGCCCCUUAUGAUUUGGGCUACACACGUGCUACAAUGGACAAUACAAAGGGCAGCGAAACCGUGAGGUCAAGCAAAUCCCAUAAAGUUGUUCUCAGUUCGGAUUGUAGUCUGCAACUCGACUACAUGAAGCUGGAAUCGCUAGUAAUCGUAGAUCAGCAUGCUACGGAGAAUACGUUCCCGGGUCU
RNAcentral lists this ribosomal RNA (1373 nucleotides) under uncultured bacterium. RNAcentral describes it as "bacterial SSU rRNA". It matches the Rfam family "Bacterial small subunit ribosomal RNA", at positions 28 to 1381 of the family's 1533-position model. The record is from RNAcentral.